AUGGGGUCAGCGGAGACGUCCGCCACCACUCGGUGGAUUGACCCCGCUGCUGACCUCCGGGAGGCGACGGAGCGGAACGCGCAGGAGAAGUGCAACGAGGAAGAGGCCGCCCGCCUGGAGAAGGUGGAGGCCGAUAAGGCGGAGGCCUCCGCCAAGAAGAAACUGGCGGAGGCCGAAGCCGUCGCCGCGACGAAGCGGCAGGCUGAGGAGGCCGCGCACCGCCAAUCGGCAGUGUUCGUCACCCCGCUGAACUCUACGCCGCCGCCUCCGGAAUUCACGGGGCAGACUGGGGAAGCCGGCCGCGAGAACCCCGUCAUGGAGAAGGAAGGCAGUGACUCCUCCACGCCGGACGUGAUCGUUCCGCCGCCGCCUUCGCCGCCGUCUGGGAGCGCGCAAGGCAAACAGCCAGCGGACCCUCCGGUGUCGCUGACUGAAGACGAGGCCGUGGCGAGGCUACUCCUUCAAGUCGGCUCGCCAACGCGCCGCCGUCUUGAGAAAGCGACCUCGGCGCCAUGUUCCCUGGAGACCGGCACCGCCAGCUCAGUGAUCCCGGAUGCCGAAGCGACGAGCGCCGCGCCCAUUGGGUGGGUGCGGGGAGGAGGCACAGGGCCGCUGAACCAGGCGCUUCUGGACGUCCAAACGAAGCUUCGAGCUGAGGGCGACGCCAUCCAGAACUGCACCAAGGCGUACCUGGCAUCACGGGCAGCCGUCCAGGACUACCACAACCUCCGCGUUACUGCCUUCAACCGUAACAUUGAAGAGCUGGGCAAGCGGACCGCCGACUUGUCGGAGAGCCGGAAAGCCAACGAUGUUCUUCAAUAG
This 822-nucleotide ribosomal RNA is filed under the name Triticum aestivum (bread wheat). Its description in RNAcentral is "partial small subunit ribosomal RNA". The record is from RNAcentral. Lineage: Eukaryota; Viridiplantae; Streptophyta; Magnoliopsida; Poales; Poaceae.